UUUACUCUCCUUGAAAUAACAAAAAAAGACCUAGCCUCCCCUACCCCAACAUUACAUAUUUAUACCUCUCUCUCUCUUCCCUCCUGGCGGGCCCCACCUACACGAUCCUCUCCCAUUAUUCUCUCAUAAUUGGUUGCUAAGGAAUUUCCCUUUCUACCCUUCCUUUUAUAGGUAUAGAUAAUAGGAGGUCUUACAAAGUAAUACCUGGCCUGACUUUCUUUAAUCUUUCUGCGAGAACCUUUCCAAACAACUUAUAAAUUAAUGUUGAAACAACUUAUAAGCCACACUGUAAUGACCUUCCUUCUCUUGACCGAACUUCAAUAAUCGACAACUUAUAUUUAUCCAUAGUGCCUUUAUAAUACAACUGGCAAUCUCUUCUCUUUUGGUCUCCGAAUCAAUGCUCUAUCUGGAUUAGCUUUCUUCAAAAGAUUUUUAAUAGCCAAUUGUUUCGAAUGGCCCAUGAAUCCUCUAGUGUUCCAUGAUAUAAUCUCCAUCUUUGCUACCUCUGCCCUUAUAUCAAUUCAAUUUCACAUGCUGCCAAGAAAGGAACCAACUCUUGAGGGGGAAGGAUACUUGCUGACCUGCACAAAAUUUCUUUUUAUGGGGAGGAAAACAAUUUAAUAAAAUCUGGACCGAGAGAGUCACUGUCCUCUUGUUUCUCUGUCUCUGAUUGAAUUAUUUCUUCCUCAACUGGUUCAAAUUCUGCACUACUUACACUGGUGACUGAUUCAACUUCCUUGAAUUCAUCUUCUAGGUUCUCAACUUUUUUUAGAUAAGAAGUAUCUUGCACAAAAUUAAAGAAUGAACCAGAAAGUUUGGAGGAGGAUUGAGAAAAUUUAUUACUUAAGGAGGAAGGCAGUACUGACCUUUUGCCAACUGAAUUUUGAAUUUGUAUCUUCACACAACUUUCCUCUAAUAAAUCAGAAUUAGUUAAGCUCAUCCAAAUGUUGCGAAAAGUUCUCCCUUUGGUAUAGGUCUUGAGGUGCUUAGAAAAAUUUAUGGCAUGAAAUGGAAUAGCUUUCAUUGUAGAGGAUAUUUUAGUCUUGGGAGAGGCUGGUAAUUUUGGUUGAGAACUGAAAACAGGAGAUGGCCCGCAAGUGAAGUUCCUUGAUGGAGGAGAGGACUCUGAUUCUUCCUCCAAUUCGUCAGAAUACCAAAAGCCAUUGGAAUUCUGUUUAAUAGAAUUCUUGGGGCCUACCAUCUGUGUGUCAGCUUUAAAAAUGUCUGCAAAUACAUUAAGUUUGAAAAAAUUUGGUUGGGGAGGGCUAGGUGAGCUGUUUUUUGAGAUAAUAAAAUGCCGACUGGCUGCCUUUUCUUCUUUCGAGGUCUGUUUUUCUCUCUUUUCUGUUGAAGUCUUUUCCCCUUCUAAGUACAUGGAGAUGCCAGCUAUACCCAAAUUUGAAUUUUGCCUUCUGAAAAUUAUUUUUUUCGGCGAGGAUUCAAGGGCUGAAACUCUUUCCGGUCGAACAAGGUUUUCUUCUUCAUCACCCAACUUCCUAAGUGCUUCGAAAGGAUUUCUUGAGAUGGAUAAGCCAUUCUGUUUGAGAAAAUUAAGGUAUCUGGGAGACCAUCACUUUGGAGCCCUUCAUCUAAAAUCACUGAAUUUAUUCUACAUAAAUCAAUAGGAUUGGAAAAAUCACUUUGAAAUAGAUCAUAUUGGAUUAUUACAGGAGCUUCUAAGGGUUCAAAAUCCCCAAAAUUAAGGGAAAAAUUUCCUCAGUUCUCACUCUUUAAUUCUAUAGUUGCUGGUAAGAAUCCGCAAAGAUUUUUCCGAACUUUAAUUCUUGCUUCAGAGAACUUGAUCAGAUUGAGUGUUUCUAAGAUUAUACUUUCUAGUCCACCAAAGUAGCUUAAGCUUAAGGCUAUAAUUGAAUUUUCUUUCAACCAUCAGCUUAAAAUUUUUGGUGAAUCGGUGGUUUAAUAUUUAUAUUAAUAUUUUAUAAAAAAGUAUACAGCUAAUGCCAUAUAAAAUAAAUAAAGAAAUACUAUAAAAUCUACAUCCAUAAAAUAUGCAUGUGAACACAUAUCAGAAGAUGGAUAUUCGUAAGUUAGAAAGACCGAUAACAAAAUGUCAUAAUUAAACAACAACAUUAAUAUUAUAGGUAGUUUCAAGCUUCAUUUGUCUAUUCUAGGUAGGGAUAUUGAAUAACUCUUAAAAAUAAUAUAAAGAUUGAAUCCCUAAACUUCAUGUUAAAGACCUAAUAACAGUUAAAGAAACUGAUUAAUCAUUUUUGGCAGGAUGUCAGAUUCGCCUUUCGAAAUCCUACAUGAGUAGAGCCAGCCAAAUAAGCCAAGCAAGAUAUGCCUCUUAAGGAAUAUGGAGAAGUUCAAUGACUGGGUAUGUAUAUGAUAAGCCUUAACCUCAAUUUUAUUUAUCAAUAAUGGAGGGAAGGAAUCAGAAGCUUCUCUAGCUCUCCCAAUUAUUCUAAGAAACCUGAUACAAGCUAUGCCAAAACAUACCCUCCCCAAACAAUCAUAAUAGUAUUUAUAUGAAAGCAUAAAAGACUCAUGGCCCCCUUAACUAGCAGCAUUCAGACCAACAAAACAGCUUCCCAUCCUCCUCUCCUGAAUCCUUUCUUGUGCCUACGGGUGUACACCUUCACUACCAUGGGCCUAUCAGUAUGUAGAGAUCGUAGAGGCUGUAUGAGCCAAGGAGCUGGAAGAGUAGGAUUAGGGAAGUGUGGAGUUUUCCGCUCUUUGUUUGGCCAAAAGUGUUUGUGGACUCCCGACAAGAAAAUUUCAAUUUUAUGCCUUAUUGACUUCGUAUGUCCUAGGCCCUAAGAGUUCAAAACUUUCUAGAUUUCACAACUUCUUGGACCACUCCUUGUGCCAAACACCCCUUUAAAGAAUACUAAGCCAAGGAUAUAAAACUUCAAUACUAUCAAUAGAAAAUCUCAUAAAAGAAACAUGAAUGAUGAAUAUUUUAGAAGACUAUAAAUUGGUACCGUACCUUCAUGAGCUGAGUUUUCUUAGUUUCGUCUGCAAUGUUCAUCAGCAUAAUUUUAAAUGGUUUUCCUAAUGUGUUCUCUUCAGAAUUGAGGUCCUCUGAUGCCACAUUUACACUUCCAAAUUCUUGACAGAAAUUUUGUGUACACUGAUUGGUUGGAUUUUUAGGAUAAAUACUUGAUAAAAUCUCAUGCUUUGAAUUGGCUAAAGAGCAUCCUUGAGAGCAGGUAUCGUAUACAUCACUUUCAGGAUCAAGAUUUUUGUUAGAGUGAGAAUGAAAAUGGUCCAGAUUGACUCCUUUUACUUUCUUUGACUUCAAGGAAGAAAGUGAUGCUUCCCAAACUCUCUUUGCGCUAUGUUUAGAGCAAGAACAAUGUGUCUCAUCCAAAUUACCAAGAGUAUUGGAUAAUUCUACAAUACUAGCUGUCGUGUUGUUCUCUAUUUCUGCAAAAGAAACCGACCGUUGCUAUCAUGCACUGCAUCCUGGUUUAAAUAAACAAAGUUAUGAGAUAAUUAAGCAACAUAUGGAGAAUAAUUUAAAUUGUACUAUCUUGUGGAACAAAACCUGAAUUACAUAUACCCUGAAUUUCAUUUUCUUCUCCAAGGGGCACUAAAGUUACAAACUCGUCAUGUUGAAAAUUCAAAUUUUGAAUGGUAUGCUGAUCAGUUGAAUUUGAAACGUUGCAACCUCGAUUGGCAACACUGAUUCUUGCAGCAUACGGGGCUUCAGGCUUUAGUAGAGAAAGUAACUUUGGAAAGUCAGUCGAACACAUUGAAAUUCCCUGAAUGUGCGAAAUCCAUGGAUUUUAUUACACAUCCCAAAGGUUAUAAUCAAUUGGUUCUCGAAGUACGCCACCUUCAUCCCCAUACAAAACUAUGUUCUGUCGAGCUGAUAGCACACUUGUUCUUUAAGAAUGUCUUGAAGUGAUGGGGAGUUCCAUCAAGCAUUGUGAGUGACAGGGAUGGUAGAUUCAUUGGUACUCUCCGGACCGAACUAUUCGCCUUCUUGGGGACACGCCUAAAUAUAUCCUUAAGCUGCCAUCCUCAGACGAAUGGCCAAACUGAAGGAUUCAAUUGUAUGCUUAAGGAAUAUCUACGACAUUUUGUUGAUUUUGGACAAAAGAAUUGGGCCUAGUUGAUGGAUGUGGCUCAAUUUUGUUUUAAUGCACAAACUAGUCUAUCCACAAGAACGAAGUCCUUUCGAAAUCUUGAGUGGAAGACAACCUAUACUGCCUCAUAUUGUUGAUCAUCCUUAUGCAGGAAAAAAUCCUCAAGCUCAUAACUUUACGAAAAAGUGGGAGAAGACUACGAACAUCACUCGAGCAUACUAAGAGAAAGUCUCGAAGCGUAUGAUAAGAAGCAUCAUCCUCUCAAGUUUUGAGCUGAAGACCAACUCUUCAUAGAGUUUAAAGCAAAGAAAAUUUGAUUUAGAGGACAUCAACAUCAGCAUCUCACUAGAAAAUACGAAGGGCCUGUUGAAGUUCUGAAGAAAAUUGGAAAUGCAUCCUAUGGGGUAUCGUUGCCUGCAUGGAUAAAAAAUCAUCUAGUAGCUCAUGUGAGCAACUUGAAACCUUACCAUCAAUAUCCAGAUGACCAGUAGUGCAACAAUGGUGUAUGGUCAUCUAGUGACCUAAAGCAGAAAGACGAUAAAGAAAUGGAAGAAAUCCUUCCGAGUGAGAGUGAGGAAGGUAUACCCAUGAAGAGGAUACAUGAAUUCCUACUGAAGUGAAAGAACCUCCAUGUGGAAGAAACACGUUAGGAAUGUGCUGAAGACCUUGAAGCGUGAAAUAAGAAGAUCGAGGAAUUCUAGCUUCGCCAGUCGACAGGGACGUCAAUUGUUUAAGUGGGGGAAUGUAACAAGCAUGCUUGUCCAGGGCGCUGUUUGCUUAUGGCCGCAUGCCCAAACACCCCCAAUUUACAUUGUUUUAAUGUUUUGUAUUUAGUUUUACUUUUUGCUUUCCUUUUUAUUUCAUAAACCUUGGGUGUGACUUGGCUUUUUCUUAUGCAAGCCUACCAGAACUAAAAAAGUCUAAAAUGUACUAUAGAUGGGACAUAGUAGUUGAGUCCCUGCCCAAGCCUUGUUGCACUCUUCGCAAUCAAAGUUUUUCUUUGCAAUUGACAGUCUUCAAUGCUUGCUUUAACGAUAUUUUCAUUGAAUUUCUUUCUCCUCACGUUUUAUAAAACAUUUUCUCAAGAACGUGAAGAGAGGCUACAUCGUAUCAUGUGUUUGUCCGUGUUUUUGGAUUUUGAUCAGCUAACUUGUUGUCUACGUAAAACAAGUGCAACAUAAUCGCUCCUCUCGUGUUUGAAAGCUCGCGAUUGUGACACAAGAAAUGCACUAGCCAAGAAUGCACACGAGGAGGGCUACACAAAAUGCCAAGCACGCAACCAAGUGAGGUUCACAAUGUGCUUGUGUGUGAGGUUAGCACGCAGGCAUGCCCAACGCGUGUGAAAAGCCUCUUGUGAGAUUCACACACAGUAGCCAGCGCCCACCAAGGCCCUGCCGCCCACCCAUUCGUGCCAGGCAAUGUCAUAUUGCGUGUUGAGCUAUUUUUGGUAAUUUUUUGAGUUUUUUAAGUAUACUUUUGAUAUUUUCUUGGCAAAAGAUAAUUAAUUGUACUAUUUUACCAUUAUUUCAGGACAUGAGAAGAUCGUACAAAUUUAUAAACCAAGGAUUUGAGCUUGUAUCUGUGAGUGGAAAAUGUUUUAUUUAAAGUGAUUUCAAGCAUGUUCUUAAGUCAUGAUUUAUGACGGAUUUAUGAUAAAAUGUUUAAGUUAUGUUAUAAAAAGUCUUUCAAGCGUGUUAUUGUUUAAAGGUAUUUAUUCAAGCAUAUUGUUUACUCUUCAAAAUGCAUAAUAUUCAAAAUGUUUUCCCACUUUCUAGGUAGAGAUCGUGUCCUCUAAGCCUAACUUGCUGCUACCUGUCUACUAAAGGAUUUCAUUUUGUUAUUAUGUGCCCUGUUAUUUUGCACUAAUGAUAAAUUAGAGUCUUUUGUGCUAUCAGACUUAGGCUUUUGGAAGGUUUUAUAAGGUUUUGUUCUAGAUAAAUAAGAUUACGUUUUGUCUAUGUAAAACUUGUCUAAGGUUGUUAAAUGAAAAAGGUUUAGCCCAAUUGGUUUUAGUAAAAUUUAUGUGUUAUGUUUCCGCUGUUAUUUAGAGUUUAAAGGUUCAGGCUAAGGGUCAGAUGGUGUCGUUCUUGACGUGGGUGCUAUCGAUUGGCUUCACGCCAUAUCUCGAGCCACGCAAGUAGGUGCUCGUGGUGGGGUGUGAUAGCCUAAGUUGGCUUAUUAACGGUUAAAAUGUAAACAUGUCCAUAACAAAAUAGUCGGGCAAGGCCCAUGUGGACCGACUGGUAAAGGUUGAAGAUCAAAUGCUCUACCUAAUGAAAGUUCCUAACUCAAUUCGCUUCUUGGAAACCCGCCUUGAAGAAAUUUUUUAGAAAGCUGAUGCUAUUAAUUAAACCACCACCCAAAAUCUUAAGCUAGUGAUUAAAAGUAAAUUUAAUUAUAUAUCACUAACAAUCCCCCACUUAUGGGUUCGAAAUAUCUAAAAGGUCCAACAAGUGAAAAUCAAUUUUAAUUGGGAAGGAAACACCAAUACAGGGACUUGAACAUAGGACCUUUUGGACCACCUGCUCUAAUACCAUAUUAAACCCCAAAUUCACCCAAAAGCUUAAGCUAGUGAUUGAAGGUAAAUUUAAUUAUAUAUUACCAAAGUAUGAGGUUUCAUCACAAUACCAAUUGGCAAUGAGAGGAGUAGCUCAUCUAUUUUAUAAGGAGUCUAAGUUUCCUUGGUUUUUCAAUUGUGGGAACAUGCCCCUUCAAGAUGGUGCCUCUUUGGUUUCACCUAUCUUGAACCAAAUAUCCGUUUAGGCUUAAUGAGCUCUAAUACCAUAUUGAAAGCAAUAUAUACGAAACCAAAGCUUACGUGAAAACGCAAGAAUCGAAAGAAAAGCAUUGUGUUUGUAGUUUUAUUAUUUUUAUGAUAAUUACAGAGGUACAGUUGGUGGUUUAAUAUAUAUCACUAACACUAUUGCUGCAAUGAUCGAUCAUCUCGAUGGAUUACCCAUUUAAGAGUUGUUGACAAGAGUUGACACUCUAGAAUCAAAAGUUGUAAGAACUAGAUGUUGUAAUUUAUGUCCUAAAACUCGUUGUAAUCAUAAUCUAUUCAAUAAAGUCGUUAUUGAUACUAUAAUCUUAAACCUGUCAUUUGCAAACCUGUCAAAGCUCAAAAAGUCUAAACUGUACUAUAGGAGAGACCCAAUAGUUGAAUCCCCAACCAUGUCUUAUCGUAUUCUUUAUAAUCAAAUUUUUAUUUGCAAUUGAAAGUCUUCAACGCUUUCUUUAAUGAUGUUUUUAAUGAUAUUCUCUCUCACAUUUUAUAAAACAAUUUUUUCAAGAACGGGAAGGGAGGUUAUAUCAUAUCGUGAGUUUGUUCGUGAUUUUCGAAUUUUACAUGACUGACUUAUUGACUGAGCAAAACAAGUGUUCUUCAAUUGUCCAUUCCAUGUUUGAAAGAUUUCGAUUGUGGCACGCAGAGUGUCACAAGUGGGCUUGUCCAAGGCAUUAUUUGCCUAUGGCCGCAUGCUCGAAUAUCCUCAAACCACUUUAUCUUUAUGCUUUGUACUUAGUUUAGUCAACUGCUUUCCUUUUGUUGUCACCGACCUAAGGUGCGUCGUUUCGCAAUUUUCAUAUGCAAGGUUGUCAAAGCUAAAAAAGUUUAAGAUGUAUUGUAGGGGAGGCAUGGUAGUUGAAUCCCCAACUAAGGCCUAUUGUGAUUUUUGCAAAUCUAAGCUUUCUUUGCAAUUGACAAUAUUCAAUUUUUUCUUUAAGGAUGUUAUCAAUGUUUUUCUUUAUCUCUCACGUUUUAUAAAACCAAUUUCACAAGUUUGUCCGCAACUUUCAAAUUUCACAAGGUUGCCUUGUUCAUCAAUUUAGAACAAGUGUUGCACAAUCGCCCGUCCCGUAUUUGAAAAGUUGCAUUUUGUGACAAGUGGUAUUAAAGCUUUGUUAGCUCCUUGGCUAAGCGAGAUGCAAUUAUGUCGACAAUGAAACAACUAUCAAAGUUGCAAUCUAAGCGACUGACUGAGAUUGAAGAGGAAUUCUUGGAUAUGAAAGAAUUGCCAAAAGAAGUAAGAUUUCUCCAGACCCGGCUUGAGAUGUUUAAAGAAAAAGUCAGAGAAAUAGACGCAUUGAAUGCCUAAAUAGACAAACUACCCAUAAAUGAAUUGGCGCUGAGGGUUGAUUCGUUAGAACAUAAAACCACCAAAGUAGGUAGUUUUGAACGUGGAAGUAGCUCUUCAAGUUCUAUCGCACAAAUGGAAGAGCGUGUCGAAGAGUUUGGCUUUUGACAAAAUCCAACAUAAUCAGUUAUAUUUCAAGAAAGAGAAAAGUGUUUUUGCUAAAUAGCAUAAAUUUUCUGGGUCACAUCAUCGAAUGUAGAAAGAUUUGAAUGGACGAACAUAAGUUGUGAGCUAUUAAGGAGUGGAGAGCCCCCACUUCCGUGAAAGAGUUACGUUUCAUCCUUCAAUAUAUUCUAAAAUAGGGUUCACCUACUAUCCUCUAGACUCAGUACCGGGAGAAAGAAAUAGAUGGAAAAAGAAAUGGGCUUGGUAAUUUUUUUUUCUAUGUAAAUAAGAAAAAGAAAUCCAAUUUGGUACAAAGCCCAAAUUCAAUAGCCAGCCCAUCAAAUGAGGUCAACGACCCUAUUUAUAAGGAUUUUCCAUACAAAAUUGCAUCCAUGGAAUACUAAAGCCCAACAACUCAAAGAUCUAUUUCUAAUAUGAAAUUCGAUGGCUAUAACACAUAUACUUGUCAGUUUCUCUCUCUUCUCCCAAUUCGAACAAUUCGACUUAUUCCAUCACACUGUUUUAAGUUUAUUCCAUAUGAGCUAGCAAGGGAACCUAAUGGACCUAUAUAUCAUGGACUCCAAUGAUUCAAGAUUAAUUGACUAAAUUCUUAUAGACUGAGUUAAUCAACAUUCGUUAACUAACGGGUCAUUCAUGAAUGUACUGGAACGAUUCAGAAUCACCUCAUUUGUACUAACUACAAAGCGGACGGACAUCCACAGUUUCUCUGAAAAAAUCUGGGUUACUACAACAUCACCACGAUGUACAAUUUUCCUGAUAAGAUGGUACUUACGUUCGAUAUGUUUUCCCCGUUUACGACUUUUAUGUUCUCUUGAAUUUGCAACUGCACCUUUUGUGACAGUAUAAAGUGAUUGAUAGAUGCAUAUUUGGAACGCUUCCAGAUCUGUCAAGAAUUUUCUUAGCCAUAAUGCUUCUGCUGUUACUUCAAAAGUUGCUACGUAUUCUACCUCCAUUGUGGAAUCAACUACAAGUUUGUUUUAUGCUUCUCCAAACUACUACUCUUCUAUUUAGAGUGAAUACUAAUCCUGAUGUAGACUUUCUAGCAUCUUUAUCAGUUUGAAAAUCAUAAUGAGUGUAUCCAGUAAGGAUCAAAUCUUUUUGUACCAUACACGAGAAUUUAGUGUUUUGUUCUUCAAAAAUAUUUAGAAGAUUCUUAACGGUUGUCCAAUGAUCACGUCCAAGAUGGACUGAUACCUACUGACCAUCCCUACUAAGUAGCAUAUGUCAAAUCUAGUACACAACAUUGCAUAUAUCAAACUUCCAACAGCGGAAGCAUAGGAAAAUUUUUCUCAUAUCCUCAAUUCUUGAGGUGUCUUAGGAAUUGUUCCUUUGACAAAUGAAUUUCGUAGAUGUAUAAUAGCAUACCCUUUUUGGAAUUCUACAUUUUAUAUCUAGACAACAUUUUGUCUAUAUAAGAUGCUUGAGACAUGGCUAGUGUUUUUGUUCUUGCAGUUCUGUACAAUUUGGAUCUUAAGAACGUAUUGUGCAUUUCCAGAACUUUCAUUUGAAAUUGCAUAGCUAGCCAUUUCUUAAUAUUAGUAUGAAAUCCUAUGUCCUUUUCCAAUAAGUAGAAUAUCAUCUACAUACAAGACUAAGAAUACUACAAUGGAAUUGAUGACCUUUUUUUGUAAACAUAAGGUUCGUCAACCUUUUGUAUCAAAGCCAUAAGAUUUGAUCAUUAGUAUCAAAUCUAUAUUCCAGGAUCUAGAUUUUGUUUUAAUCCAUAAAUGGAUUUUUGAAUCUUACAAACCUUUCGUUCUUGAUCUUGAUCUAUAAAACCCUCUAAUUGAUAAUAUAGAUACUCUCUUCAAGAUUGUCAUUCAAAAAAAGUUGUCUUGACAUCCAUCUGCCAAUUUCAUAAUCAUAAAACGUGGCGAUGCAUAAGACUAUUCUAAUUGACUUUAGCAUGGCAACGAUAGAGAAAGUUUCUUCAUAGUCUAUGUUAGAAAGAGACAUGCACAGUAGAAAAAUGGAAUACAAAUUACCCUAAUUGCACCUAUUUAACUUGCAACCCUAAAUUAAAAGAAUUAGGUUUAGAAAUAUUAUACCUUUGUAUCUAUUCGAAUAUGAACGUCUAUACCUCUCACAAAAUUCCAAAAGUUUUUGAAACCAAAAUGUAACACAUUAAACUUAGGAUUGGAAUUCGUAUCUUCCAGCAUUCUCUGCAUCCCCUGCGACCUGGCAGCAUCAUCCUUACUAUUCUUAAAAACUUAUUAGAAUGAAAUUCCUCUUCACAAACUAACACGAAAUCUUUCAGCAUGCUUUCCUCACUCACAUGCAUUCUAGGAAAAUUUCCAAGAGGUCACCCAACAUAGAAUUUCUUCAAGCUAAGCACGCUUAACUCUGAAGUCCCUAUAAUCGAGCCACCGAAGAAAAAAAAGGUUCACAUUGUUGGUAUAGGUAUUAAGUUUUAAUUCUUUUCAGUCUUUCUUAACAUGACUUUCAUGUCCUCAAGGUGCACCUUGUCGGUCUUACUGUCGAUUUUCUCUUUUUCUCUCAAUUCAAACAAUUCGACUUAUUCCAUCACAAUGUUCUAAGUUUAUUCAUAUGAACUAGCAGGGAAACCUAAUGGACUAUUAUCAUGAGCUCCAACGAUUCAAGAUUAACUGGUUAAACUCUUUUUAGACCGAGUUAAUCAACAUUCGUAAACUAACGGGUCAUUCCACUAAAGUCUCGCAGUUGCACUCCCCUCACUAUAGAUAUAUUCUUGUCCAUUUAAUAUAACCAUGAUCAAUAAGUUAAUCCUUCACAUGUUAUUCGUAACCUCGAAUGAUGAAAUUACUGUUUUAUCCUUGAGACUAUCUUAUUUCUUAAGUCUCAUUGAUCCACUAUUGAACAAUUGGUUUAAGGUCCUAUAACUUAAUCCUCUCGGGCUAAUGUGAGGGUGGGCCCCUUGUUCAAGACUUGGAUUCAGUGCUUAAGAGAACAACCUAUCUACUAACCCUAAAACAAGUAGAAAUGAAUUUUGUCUUGCAUCCUAUGUUCCCAGCCAUUCAUCUGAUCUUACCCUUGAAAUAGGAGGCUUAUUGGGAGAACGUUGAUGAGAUACCCUCACCUAUGCAGAUGUAACCCUAAAACAAGUAGAACUGAAUUCAGUCUUAUGUAAGUACUUUACAGUGCUUAAGAGAACAACCUAUCUACUAACCUAAACAGUAGAAGUGAAUUCGUCUUGAUCCUAUGUUCCCGCAUUCAUCCGAUCUUACCUUGAAAUGAGAGGCUUAUUGGGAGAACGUUGAUGAGAUACCCUCACCUAUGCAAAUGUAAGGAUAAUCUCAUGUGAACAGGAGUUCAUAGUUAGCUUAGGAUUAAGAUUAAGCUACCUAAGUCAUCAAUAAACGAAAUAGUCAGUUCUAAACAGUAAACGUGUUAUAACGUAAAAGUGACUAUUUCAUGGAUCAGUCUUAUGUAAGUACUUUACAUAGGAUGCCCCCACUUUCAUGUCUCUACAUGAACAAUUUAGGAUCACCUCGUUUGUACUAAUUACAAAGCGGGUCACAUCCGUAGUUUUUCUAAAUAAGGCACUAUAGACUAUUUAGGCUAUACACUCGAACUUGAUCCACGUUUAUGUCUCGACAUAAAGUUCAAAUGUAUUAAAAAAUAGCAUUAAGACUUAGUUUAUUGGAUUUAAGAUUAUAAUUUUAAAUUUUUCAAUAACGAUUUUAUUGAACUGAAUAUGAUAACAAAUACGAGUUUUAGGACAUAAAAUCCCAACAUAUGUAUUUUUGCCUCUAAUAAUAAUGUUGAAAGAUGUUUGUUGUCAUUUCAUAUGGUGAUAUCUCUUCUGGUUGGACAUAGUCAGGUUUUGUAAUGGGUGACUUUAAAGCUAUCAAAAUGCUUUUGAGGCUUUUGAUAGGUCUUCUGUUCCUAUGGAUAUGGAGGAGUUCGAUAUGGCUAUUUGCGAGGCUUAUUUAGUUGAACCUACAGUACAGGGUAACUGGUUCACCUAGACUAGAAAGGUUCAUGGUCUGGUUUGAUAAAACGAUUUAAUCGUAUUCCGGUUAAUGGUGUUGGAUUACUGCAUGCCCUUCGGGUAUUUCUGAUCACUCCCCUUUUAUUUUAUCCCAACUUUUAGCAGAGACAGUGGUAGUUUCUUUUUGUUUCUUCAACCAUUGGUUGAGGAUUCUUUGUUUAUUGAUUGUCUCUUCGAUUUGGAGUCACCAUGUAGGAGUUUCUCUGAUUGUGAGUUUCGUGAGAAAUUUACAUAACCUCAGAGAAAGGUUGGGCAAAAUCCUAUGUCUGAUGUUUUGAGUCGCCAAGCAGGUCUUGCCAUUGAGGCCUUUUGGACGGCUGUUAGAUUGGAGGAAGCCUUCAUGUGUUAGAAGUCCAAGAGGUUUGUGAUUUGCCUUAGAACUUGUGUUACCUCCUCGAUGUUCUCCAUUAUGAUUAAUGGCUCUUUCAAGGGUUUUUUAAUGGGAGGAAAGGUUUGCGGUAGGGUGAUCCUUUAUCUCCUUUCCUUUUUAUCAUGGUGAUGGAGGUCCUCUCUCGUAUGUUCAAUCGGCCUCCUCCGAGCUAUCAGUUUCACAGGCAUUGUGAGAAGGUUAGCUUAACUCAUCUGACCUUUGCUAAUGAUCUUAUGAUUUUUUGUACUGCUGAUGAUUCCUCUCUGAGUUUUAUUAACGAGACUAUUCGAAAGUUUGGUGAUCUCUCGGGCUAUUUACUAAUCUUAGUAAAAUUUCUAUGUUUGUUGUAGGGGUUAAUAGUGAUGAUGUUUAUCGUUUGACUACCAGUUUGGGUUUUGUCCUCAGGCAUCUCCCUGUUCGUUAUCUUGGGCUUCCUUUACUUUCUGGAGGUUACGACCUACUGAUUGUGCUCUCUUAUUCAACGUAUUACUAGUCAGAUUCAUUCUUGGUUUGCUAGAGUUUUAUCAUUUGCAGGUAGAUUGCAACUGGUUCGAUAUGUGCUUGAUAAUCUUCAGGUUUACUAGGCUAACGUGUUUGUGUUGCCUGUGAGUGUGCAUCAUGAGGUUGAUAAAAUCUUGAGGUCUUAUCUUUGGAGGGGUAAGGAGGAAGGUAGAGGAGGUGUUAAGGUGGCGUGGGCUGAGGUGUGUUCCUUUUAAGGAGGGUGGUCUUGCUAUUCUUGAUGGGCCUUCUUAGAAUGUUGUGAGUACUAUGAAGAAUCUUUGGUUGUUGCUGACUAGUUCGAGUUUUCUACGGGUUGCUUGGGUGGAGGCUUAUAUUCAUAAAGGAAGGUCAUUGUUCAAGGUCGAUUCUUGUGUUGGUCGGUCUUGGUGUCUUUGCGCUAUCAUGUGUAAACGAGAUAGUCUAAAAGAGCAUGUUCAGAUGGAGGUUGGGGAUGGUAGGCAUUGUAAACUGUGCCUGGAUCCGUGGUUGCAGGGUGGUCAUAUCCUUCAACAAGUUGGUGAGAGAGCGCUUUAUAAUGUAACGAGUAGAUAGGAGGCUAGGCUCUCUAAGUUUAUUGGUUCGAAAGGGGAGUGGAGGUGGUCGAGGGUAUCUUUGGAUUUGAUUAAUUUAUCGGAUAGGGUUCAAGUUGUAAGUUCGUGUCCUAAUGUUGGUGAUAGGUGGGUUUGGGUUCUUGGUCGUCAUAGUGGUUUUUGAUUGCUAGUGCAUGGGAUACUAUUCAUCCUCGUAGUGUUAAGGUUCGUUGGAUAGGUUUCUUGUGGGGUGGGGAUUGAGAGUCUCGUUAUCAUUUGUUUUUUCAUGUCCUUUUGGGUGUGAUAUUUAGUCUCGGGUCCUUUAGGUUAUGGCUUCCUCUCACAGGAUUGGGUAUUGGGGGUUGAGUUGUUUGGGGUUUGUCAUUAGAGUAUUGGUAAGGGUGUGAGAAGGAAGUUGUGGUAUGUUCUCUGGUGUGCUACGAUUUAUUUUAUGUGAAAGGAGCAUAAUCAUUGUCUCCAUGGUGGUCAAGCUCGUGAGCUCAUUGUUCUGUUUCAGCUUAUUCCAUAUUGUAUCAGUGCUCGUGUUGUUUAUUUGCGUGAGGAUGCUCAUGGUAUUAUUUAACUUGUUUUCUUUUGAUUUUUGUUUUAUCUGCUUGUUCUCGGGCUGUGGGGUUGUUUGGACUUUUUAUGUUUUUGUUGCUCUUAAUUUUGUUGGGUUUAUUAUUGUUCUUUCUUUUGAUACUUUGGAUUCUUCCUGUUUUUGUGAGCAUUGUCCGCUCUUGUGAGGUCAUCCUUGUUGUAUUAUGAUAUUAACUUUUCAAAAAAAAAAAAAGAUAAUGCAAUUCAACUUUAGAUAGAAACAUGAUUCGAAUUUUCAUUUCAAGAAAAUACAAGGGGACAGAACUCAAGGAUUAUGUGGAUCACAAAACUUGAAUUACUAGAAUCUAAAUUUCCAUAUGUUAGAUAUCAUUAGAAGCAGUUAGACCAAAAGUUAAUUAUCAAUAUGUUAGUUCACAGGAACUGCAUAAUCAAGCACAUAAACAUCCACAUUGUCAUUCAUUGUAGGCAGCUUUGAUACACAAAAAAUAUGGAUAUUUUCAGAAGUUCAAGCAUACACAAAAAACAUAUCCUUGUCAGAAAAUAGCCAACUAAGAAAGAGAAGUUCAAGAUUUAUAUACAAAGUGCAGCUGCAAAAGGACAAGCAAGAUGCCAGAAUCUAUAUAUUAUGCAGUCGGAUAUUAAUUGGCAAGUACUAACAGCAAAGGUACCAAAAUAAAACUGUAUCAAUUUAUCUUGUCUAAAACUAAACAGUAUAUGUAAAUCUUGCAAACAAACAAGUUUUUUGAAUCAAAACUGUCAAAAGAUUUUGAUUCAAGUGAUAUGUGGAUUGUGAUCUUUUGUGUCACCCAUCCAUUCCUCCUGUUUUAACCAUUUAAAUCAAUAAAUAAUUUUAUGUUCAAACAUAAGUUGGACAACCUUUGUUAAAGAACUGCUUCCCACAACAAAUAGCAUUAACCACCCUUUUUUAAUUCAACAGAUGGGAAUAGAGAUCGAAUCUCUGAUUUUUUGGUCUAAGGUACCUUUCCUAAACUUGUCGAAUUCCAUUUUCUACACCAACUUUAGAACGAGUAUAUAUACAUCAAGUAAUUUCAUGUUCAACUCAAAAUUGGACAACCAUAGUAUUACUCCAAAGCAAACAAUACUAAUUGUUCCAUUAAAUGUUUUUUUAUAGCUCUUGAUUGUCUCACUUUUUUGUAUUUUGAAUUUACAAGCCUCUUUUUUCUUUCUUUGGUAUGAAAGGUGGCAACUAGGCCUUGCUAGAACGAGUGGGGUAACCUUUCUAUGGUUCUACACUUAGUUUCGAAGUUCGAAGUUUUCCUCCUACAGUGGAUCAUCGCUAUUGAUUCUUCUACUGUUAAUUCGACCUCCCACGAAUUCUCUUCUUCUAAGGAUUCACUUUUCUCUAAGGCUAUGCACUCUACUAAAAAGCCUUGAUCUUCUUCCCCCCAAUGUUUUCAUAAACUUCUUAAGACAGACCCUGACCUUGGUUAGGCUCGGAUCUCCUUGGAUUAUCACCUUCUUCCCCUGAUAUGUAAAUGUUAACAUCAUAUUCUUCCAAUCCACUCCAGUCGUUCCCAAGGAAUACAAUCACUGCAUUCCAAGUAUGGCAACUACCCCUCCCAACUUCAAGGGUAAAAACUCAUUCACUACCUUCUAGUCUCCCAGCAUUAACUCAACAUCUUCACAAAUUACCUUCCCUUUGACUACAGUGCCCGAGCCCAAAAUAACUCCAUAAUUCGACGUUUCUCUUAUACUCAGUUGCAACUCUUUCACUAUUUUUUUCUGAAAUGAAAUUGCGUGUGACUCCACAAUCAAUUAGUACUAUAGGCACCUUCCCUUGUAUCAUCUCUUUUACCUUCAUUUUCCCUAGGUUGGAUAAUCCCACCACAUAAUUAAUGGAUAAUUCCACCAUCACUUGACUCUCCUCUACGAUCUCAGGGGCAUUCAAUUCUUUCUGAUCAAUUCCUCCUUCUUCAAUAAUUUCAUACUCCUCGCCUUCUUCCUUCACAACAAUCAUUCGCAAUUCCCUUUGCUCUUUCAUCUUGCAUUUGUGGUCAUGAGAAUAUUUCUCAUUACAGCGAAAGAACAAUCCCUUCUUUCUAGAUUGAAAUUCAGCAUCAAAUAAGUGCUUCGUCUGUCCCUCUUUCCGUACUUCCUCUUUUGUUGUUCCUCGUAGAGUAAUAGUUCUCAUCGGCCAAUUCAUUCCUCCUUUACUUUCUUCUGUAUUCGCAAUGGUAUUAGGCUUGGUGCUAUUAUGGGAGUUUAUCACCUUUUCUCCAGAAUAUCUAGAAAGAUUUGCUUCCUGACAUAUAUCUUCCUUGUUCUCUACCUUUUGCGCGAUUCGUAUCAUUUGUUUUUUUCUUGUCAUUUUGGGUGGGAGAUUUGGUCGAGGAUCCUUUUGCUUAUGUCAUCUUCUCAUAGAAUCGGUUAUUGGGGGUUGAGUUAUCUUGGAUUUAUAAUCAGGGUAUUGGGAAGAGUGUGAGGAGAAAACUGUGGCGCCUUCUCUGGUGUGCUACAAUUUAUUUCAUUUGGCAGGAGCGAAAUCAUCGUCUUCAUGAAGGUGCUAUUUGGGAGCCUAUGGUUGUAUUCCAGCUCAUUUGGUCGUGUAUUAAAGCGCGUGCUGCUUCUUGGUCGGAUGGUGUUCAUGGUCUUAUUUAAUGUUCUUUUCGUUUGCUUGUCCCCGGGUUAUGGGGUUUCUCUUCUCUUUAUUAACUUUGUUGUCUUUCUCUCUUCUUCUUGUCCUUUUAAUGUUUGGAACACUAGUUGGUUUCUUUUGGUUUUAGUUCUUGUUCCCAAGAUGUGGGGUUGUUUUGGGUACUUAUGGGUUGUUUUGUCUAACUACUUGUUCUGUGAGUGUUGUUCACUCUUUUGUCUUGACCUCAGGAUGUGAGGUCCACCUUGUUGUUGUAUAAUAUUAUCAUUACCUUUUCAAAAAAAAAAUCAAACUCAAUGCUAAGUUUGACUGCUCCCUUCGAAGUGACAACAAGCCUCAUUUUCGCCCUACUGUGGAUCGAGGAGGAUUCCUCCUCUUUUCAAAGCCCUCAAUCAAACUUGACGUUAUGUUUAAAACACUAUGGUCUAGUUUUGGUUAGGCCAAAAGCGAUGUUUUCCCCCAAAAGCUCUAAUAGCUAGGGAACUCAACAUGUUCUACUUGACCUAACCAACUUGACUCUGUAUUUUUUAUGAGCUUUUUUUAAUGCAUAUUGCAUAUGUUUUUUUUAUAAUUGUUGAUUGUCUCACUUUUUUAUGGUCUGCAUUUACGAGCCUCUUUUCUUUCUUUGUUAUGAACUGCGGUAACUAGGCAUUGCUAGAACCGAUGGGGUAACAUUUCUAUGGUUCUACACUUAGUUUCUAAGUGUGAUUGCUCACCUCUAAUUUUCAAAACACUUAAUUUCUAAGCACAUACAAUGUUCACCUAGAAAAAAAUGAAAAUUGUUGUACUUAAGAUCAAAACUAAAUAGUUAUGAAAUAAGACAUAAGAGAUUUGAUUUUAACAACCUUCUUGUACUUGGGAUCCACUCUGGCUUUGUGCUGGAAAAUUGGUUUGGAGCUGAUCAUAAGCUUUCGGUUGCUCUUCUGUAACCUUUAGAUACUCUUCAAAGCUAUAAGCUUUGCUUCCUGACGAAGAAUCUUCUACUAUUACAAUACAUAAGAAAAUUCUAUUUCAUAAACCUGUAUCAUAAUUGAGGCUGAUAGAAUGAUUAUUCUAUAACCCUACCGAUAGUUUCAUUCUUAACAUUCAUAGACACGAUGCAUGGCAGCUAUCCAAUUCUAUUUCAUAUUCUCGAGAAUGGCUCGGUUUAACAAUAAUGUUAAUUUUUGUUUUCUAUUUUAAAAUAAUAACGCUGCUUACUAAUCUUUUUUUUUCCAUUUGGCAUUCUACUUUUUCUACUCAGCUUUCUUUCCCUAGUGAUAACAAAUAAUACGGGUGAUAAAAAACUUAAUCACUCACUUGUUUCAGCCACCGAAAGCCCUUCUGCUUUAGAAAUAGAAAUACGGGUGAUACGGUGUGCUGUUCAUUGAACUCUCAAUUUCAUCAAGACCAAUUUCUCACUCAAACAUGGUCUUGCAUUCUCUAGAAACGUCCUACAAACAAAAAUGAAGAACAAAAAACUACAAUAAGGUCUAUGAAAAAUUACAAAGGAAAAUCUCAAAAACUGAUAUGUAAGUCAUAACAACCUUAAGUCCUCUUAUGGGUUAAAAUGCACGUAAGGUUUUUCCAAGAGUCCGAGCAACCAGCAUGUAAAUAAGUUAAGUCAACUAAAUUUGCUAUAAAUUUACUCGUAUUAACAUUAUCAUUGUUAUAGACUUGACAACUUCAAAUUUAUCAAUAUAAAAUAUGCUUUAACAAAACGUACCUUGAGGUUCCUCAAACCUUAUUAAAAAAGCAAAUAAUACAACAAUUUAACAAAUUUAUAGUGCAUAUUAUGUAUAUCAAUUGAUCACAACAAAAUAAGAUCGAACAAAUACCCAUGAGUAAUAUUUAGCCACCAAAUGAAUAAUGAUGAAAACCUGAAAACAAAAUCGAGAAAAAAAAGGGAACAAUUCAUCAACAAAACAAAUUUAGGGGACUAAAAAAUUGCUUACCUUAUUACACACUUCAAAAUAUUAAGAAAAGUGGAGGGAAAAAACCAACCAAUAAUCAACAAAUAAACUUCAACACAAAUAGCCAUAAAUUUUCUUCUUUAAAGGUAUCACAAAUAAGUCCAUCAGUAAUACAAAAUAAAAAAGGGCAACGUGCAAUUGAAUUCUGCAGUCGUAAAGCUAUGCUAAAGGCAGUAUGAAAUCAAACUUGAGCACUAACAAGAAAAUUUGCAAAACAAAAAUUACUAGACAUCAUUAACUAAAGUACCAGCACAACAAUGAAUGUGUAACCUCCGCAAGAGCAAACCCGAAUGGAGAAGAACAUGAAGAAAUAUAUAAAUAGAAGAAACAUAAAAGACAAACAUGAAACACAUGGAAAUAUACAAAGGGGAUAAAUAAAAGUACAAUUAUAAAGUGAUGAAGCACAAAUAUAGGUAUCAACAGAACCAGAAUACAAGUCUUACCCUAUCUCGACUGUCGAGGAGUGUUAACCAACCGUCGGAAGGUUGGUUUUAUUUUUUAGAAAAAUUAAUGUUGUCUGAACUCUUUUCCAAGCCACUAACCAGCCCCUCCUUAUCUAUGAUCGACGAUCAACUCCUCAACCUCUAAUUACAUUUAAAAGAGUGAUGCGAACAUUGUGUGAAAUCCCAAACCUUUGAUGGAUCCCACCAUCACUCUCUUUCUAUCCCCUUCAAAACCUCAUUAUUUUCAAGAGAGGCCUCAAAGCUUUCUUCCAAUUAACAUAAAAGAAGAAUGAAAGAGAAGGAGAGAAAGGGAAAGUGGUUCAAAAGCUAUGGAAAAAAAAGUAAAAGAAAAUGGUCUACUCAUUGGCACAUCUUACACAGAUGAUAAUGUUAGGGCAAGGCAAUGAGAGACAGAAUGCUUUUGGAGCCUUCUCCUCUACUUUCGAAGAUUUUAACAAACUAAAAUAUGCAAAUGUUACAAGAAAGAUCUUUGGAGAUUUGAAAUAAUCCAAAAUAAAGAAAAAGGAAAACCCCAAUAUGUACAAAUUUCAAAAUCUAAAACUUGAAAAGUGAUUGAAUGAUGAGAUAUGUUUGUACAAUCAAUUAUAGAGACAGUGAAAUAUUAAAACAAAAAUGAAACGUACCAAGAUAAAAAGAAUAGCAACUAGUAUUAUGACCUUUGUAUGUCUUCAAAAUACAAACAUCAAAAUGAAUCAAGAGAUCUACCACACAAAUAAUGGUAUCAACACAAAUAAAGCAAUUGUUUUAGUAACAAUAUUUGAGUACAAUUAAACUAAGCAUGCUAUUUUCCUUGACAAAUUUACAUUCUUCUAAUCGAACAAAAUCUGACCUUUAAAUAGUGAUAGAAACUGAAGAUGAAAGCAAGUUUAGCUACAACUUCAGACCGUGAUAUAUAUGACGGAAUCUAUAAAAAAAAGAAGAGUACCUAACUAUAUAUACACAGAGGAGAUCUGAUGCUUACUAGCACAUCAGAGGCUCAAUCGAUUUAUAUUUAAUUGAAAAACAAUCCCUAUAUUUUAAUGCAUACACAUUGAAUAGCCCCUGUUUCAAUCCAAUUUACAAAACUACCUCCAUAAAAUUACAUAAUGGGGGAAGUUCGACCGGAUGCACUGUGCUUUACCAGAACCACAUGAAAUUAUUGGAACAUAGUUCAUUCAAUUAACUUUCUAUUCAAUAAUUGAAACAAAUGGAAAGAGGACAUAUGAAUAUUAAAUAAAGAUGGAAUUAAUUGGGAACUCACGGAGUAAUGCGAUUUGUUCGGGGCUCACUACUGGAGUUGGAAGAGAGACAAGGAUUAGAAAGGAAAGGAAGAGGAGCGUCUGAUAAUCCAGCGGAUUCUUUGAUGAGUGGAGUACUAGUAGUAGUAGUGGAGGUUCCAAGGACAUUGAAGUCAAUCCGGUGAGAGUGAGGGAAUCCAGAAGGUUGAGGUUGAAGAGAGUAGAAAUUGCAACCAAAAUCGGUGACGAUGGUGGAAUCGAAAUUGCGAGGGAAGAAGAAAAGAGCAUCACAGGUCGAAGUAGAGGAGGAAUCAACACUGGAGAAAGGAGGAAGAUGAGGAGAACCUGCCAUUAAUGGAAGAGGGAGGAAGUGAGAGAGAAAGGAGAGGGAAUUAAUUAAUUAAAGAGAAUUAGGGUUUGAGAAGAGAAAGGGAAAAUGGAGUGUACGAACAAAGAAGAAGAAGAAGAAAUGGAAAGGACGCGCUAAGAGAAGAAGAUGGAUCGGUGAAAUGGGUAUGAUAGGGUUUCUUCCUUAAAGAAACGGAAAUUCAGAGAUAGGCCUUAGGAUUUUGAGAAGAGAAAGGAAAACUGGAGUGUACGAAGAAAUGGAAAGGACGCACUAAGAAGAAGAGAGAUUAAGAGAAGAAGAUGGAUCCGCGAAAUGGGUAUGAUAGGGUUUCUUCCUUACAGAAACGGAAAUUGAGAGAUAGGCCAAAGAAGACAAGAGAGCAAGAGAGAAGAGGAGGGAGAGGAGAGGGAGAGGGAGACUUGGCCGUUAGAGAAGAGGAUAAAGAAAUUUUAAAUGAGAGAGACUGUACAUGUAGGGUUUUUAUUAGAAUUUUUUUUUUUUGAAAUCUUGCUUAAUUGGAUUUAGAGAAUUUUGUGUAUUCGGUUCACUGACUCGUAUUAGCUGUCCAUUGGUCCAUUGUUUUGUCAUUUUUUUUCAACAAACUAAAUGUUUUAAUCCAUUUACAAAUUAGAUUUCGAUAAAUCGAUAAUCAUAUUUUUUUACAAUAUAGGACUAAAAAAGAUAACUAAUUUAUAUAUAUAUAUAUAUAUAUAUACAACAGUAUUUAGUUAAAUUACAAAAAAUUUGAAUUUUGUAGUUUGUGUAAAAAAAUAACCUUAAACUUUGAAAUGUUAAAAAAAAUUGUUUUGAACUUUUAAAAAUUAUUCAUAAAUACAUCUACAUACGUAGGAUGAAGGUAUUGGCAUGCUUCUCUAAAAAAACUUUCCAAAAAGAUGUUGUGUGACUUUUGAAAAGAAAAAUUACAAAUGGGGUCGUUUUUAAACAAAUUAGAUAUAUCGAGUUAUGUUUCUUUAAUUUUUUUCCUUUUUUCACAUAUUAUCAAUCACAUCUUACUUUUUUCUUUUUUCUUUGGAACCCUGCAAAAAUAACAAAAACAUUUAUAAUCACAUGACUCAUGUCACUACAUUUUCUAAAUUUUAAAAGUAGUAAAUUUAAAAGUUGAUAACCCUAUGAUUAUCGUUUGAUAGUCAUCUAAUAUCACUAAUUUUGUCAUAUUCGUAAUAUCCAAAUAAGGUUUCUUGGUGAGUCUAGAGUCGAACGUGAGGACUUAUACUAAAAAUAUAUUUAUAUUUUGAAAUGAUCUUAAGGUGAUUAAUAACAUACGCCUAAGAACCAUAGCGGUAUCAUCCACUUGUAGGGUGGGAGGGGAGUCAUCCACUAUAGAUAAGGUCCACUUGUCUCCCUCACCCAACUUCAUAAGGCUGCCAAAAGAGUUAGGCAUAAUCACAUCCACACGUUUACCCUUCUCUCGAACAUAAACCAACUCUCUUUUCUUCCUAAUAACGAGUAAUUUCAUUCCGAUUACCUACCUCCUUUUCCUUAAUAUGCUAAUGGGGGAGCUAUUAGUCUUACUUUCCUCCAACUAUUUAAAGUCUAACACCACAUCCACAAGACACAAUUGUCCGUUCCUCCUCUUGUUUGAAACCACCUUGCUCACAUCCUCCUCUGAUGAACUUUGUUUUCCACAAUCUUAGGACACUUACCACUAGAAUGCCCAAAAGACCGCACAAAUUACACCUUCGAGGCUUCCACUCAUAAUUCACAGUCAUAACGAAAUCCUCUCCCCUAAGGUGAAUUGUAAAUUCAGCAGGCAUAGGAGAGUCCAUAACUAUAGUUUGCCUAUAGCACUAGCCACAACAGUCAAUCUGACAUCUGUCCAUAACUCCAUUGGAAUCCUACCUAGUUUAAUCCAUAUAGGAACAUAAUAAAAAGCAAAGGAUUUAGGGACAAUACCUAGAGUCCAUUUACGGAGGAGCAUACUUUUGCCAGCAAGAUGUCGCGAUCAACGAGAUAGGAUCCAUUCAACAAGUUUUGGGCAUCUGAAUUGGAAACAGAUGAGUCCGUUCUCAAGAAUUGUAAUCGUUGGCAUUUUAAUUUUAUCAACAAUAACAACGAGCUAAACAAAAUCCUCUAUCCAGGACGCACUAAUGAAAACUAAAAUGUAAAAUAAGUACGAAGUAAUUAAUUAAAAUAGAAGACAAAAGAAACCCAAAGUAAGUUGACAAAAUGCCCCACAAUAAGCUUCAAGAUGAGUGAGAGGGAACACCAAGAGAAACAUGAAUAGCCUUGCUAACUUUUCACUACUAGCCAACUACAUAUUUUUUACAAUACGUGUUAGGGAAAUCUUUCCCUUUGCAAAAUCGACCAAUAUAUAAUCAAUCAUUGGCUCCUUAUGGGAAAAUACAGAAGCCCUAUACAUGUCUGUUUCAAGCCUGUGUUGAACAACUUUUAAUUCCCUAAGAUAAGGACAUUUAUCUGAAGGUUCGAGAAUAAUGACAUGUCCUAAACUAACCCACCAUUUCGCAACAGUGAACCAGUUUGAUCGUUAGGGGACAACUUUUGAUAAUAAGCGCACAACCAUGCCCCAAUUCCAAUGUUGCCCAAAAGUAAAGGCCUUUCUUCACAAUGCUCCAUAAAAAAAGUUCGACUUUCACAUAAAGAUCUUAUUUCUUUUUUAUUGCUCCAAGAGAUCUAAUAGAUCUAUUCUCACCACGCAAAUCCCUUUUGUUAUCAUGGAAAAUAUGUUGGUUGUGCUCAAACCAAAUCUCUGCUAGCAACACUUUUAUCAAAUUAACCCAUAUUUUUUUAAAAAAAAAGAUAUGAGUCUCACUAUUAUUAAUAUUGAAAUAUGAAGAGACAAAGCUCAAUGUCAUGAGGAUUAUACAAAGAGCAAUAGGAUGGAGGAUCAACAGACGCACCUGGACAUCUCAACUAGGUUGACACCCCCUUAGCGCCCUCAUCACAUCCAAAAAGCGACAACACAAGAUCAAAACCAAAAGCCACAAAUAGAAGGCUUUUUUUGUGUUUGUUUUGCCUUUGGACAUUACUCCUUUGUUAUGGGUUUUAGCUUGGUUGGAUAUGAUGAGGGUGCUAUGGGGGUGGCAACCUAGUUGAGAUGCCAAGGUGCACCCCCUGAUCCAUGGUUACAUGUUCAUUGUAUAACUCUCUUGUACUAUGAGCUUUUGUCUAAUUAUUAUUAUUAUUUUAAUAUUAAUAAAGAGGUUGUCUCCUUUUCAAAAAAAAAAAAAAAAACAAAACAAAACAAAACAAAAGCCACAAAUAUAAAACCAAACAAAAUGAUAAAAUAAUAUAUCCAAAACAAAAUCAUAAACCAUAGGUAGCAGGUCGAGAACAAAGAAGAAUAAGCCUUGAUUGAGCAAAAAAACCCAACAAAUAUUGAAUGUUUGGAGAAGACGGAACCAACAUUUCGAUACAAAGACAUAGUCAAUUAAAAGGUGCUAAAUAUUUUUCAUGUUAUCAACACAAAUGGGGCAGACAUGAGGUGAGAGGACAUGAGAGGGAAGUUUUCUUUGAAGUACUAAAGCACAGUUUAAUUUUCCAAACAACGUAAUCCAUAUGGGGAUAUUUAUCCAAAGAGUGAGCUAAAUAGCCCAAUGAGUGAUUGUUUUAUAAAACAUCGUUUUGAAAUAAUAAGUAUUUAACAAUUAACUCUUAACAUAAAUGAAAUCAAACUCAAACAACUUAUCUCAAACUUUCCCUUUCAGUUGCUAUACCUAUCAUCGUCGAGACAAAAAACAAUAAACUAGGCAUAGAAGCCCUAUCCCGUGAUACGAUACUUACGAGAUGAAACUCUAGGCAUCAAUUGUGCCCUAUCUCGUUAUAACUACAAUGAGAUGGAAAACUAGGCAUUCGUACAGGCUCUCGUCCCUUGAGAUGGGAAACUAAGCAUCUUUAGAAGUCUUCAUCUCUUAUCUAAUACCAAUGAUGGAAAGCUAGGUAUUUAUUGAAUAUCCAAAUCAAAUGACCUCUAUGCACAAGAAAAUCUCUCCCGAAGGGUUGCUAUAUAUCUUAGAAUAUUUUAGGUAUAGACUAAAACAUGCUAAUAUUAUUUUCAAGCUUAAACAUUUUGAAAACUUAGCACAAUCAUGAUUGCUUAUAAUUUUCAUUAGUAAAUUCAUGAAUAAAAACAUGUUUACCAAAAUGUUUCUAAAUUCAUGCUUUGGAAAUACUUUAUAAGUCAGUAUCCUCAAAUAUUCAAACAUCAAAGCAUGCUUGAAACAUUUGAUAGUAAAUUCAUGUUUAAACUCAUUUUUGUCAUUUAUAGAGAGUAGCUUGGACCCUUGGCUUAUAAACUUGUUCGAUCUCCUUCAAAUCUAAAAUAAUGAAAAAUAAUGGGAAAUAAUUCCAUUUAAUUCCCGUUGAUCAUAAAAAUAUCAAAACUUUGCUUAAAAUUUCCAAAAACCACAAAAACAGCCUAAAGACAUUAGCUUGCAUACAAAAUAUUGUGGCAGAAGUUGGCAGGCGCGCGUAGGGCUUGCCUUGCCAUGUCUCAUUCUAACCUCAUGUGCAGGUGUCACAAUCACAACUUUUCAAACACGGAACAAACUAUUGUGCGGAGCUUGUUGUAACUCGAUGAACACGUCAGUUGUAUGAAAUUGGAUACCAUGUAGCCUCUCUACAGGUUUUAAGAGAAAUUGGUUUUAUUAAACACGAGAGAGAAAGGAAAGCAUUGGAAACAUCGUUAAAAAAAACUUUGAAGACUGUCCAUUGCAAAGAGAGCUUAAAUUGCAAAGAGUACCUCUGUGAUGAGAUUGGUUUGUGGAACCAAUUGGGAUGGGAAAAAGUUUAGAGAUAUUUGAGAGAAACUCUUUUCUUUUUGCAAAGAGCAAUAGCGUUAGCCUUAGUUUUUCAUUUUUUAUUAAUUCAUUUUUUUAAGAAAAUUGUUUUCUUCUAGAUAUUAUAACUCUCUUUCCUUCUAGGAAUAGAAAAUGAAGUAGAAGAGAACCAUGAGAUUCUAUUAAUUUACAAAUAAUUAAAUUAAUAUAUAUUUCAAAUCUACUGAUUAAUUAAACAUUAAUCAAUUAGUUAAUAAUUAAUGAAAUCGAAUUUAAUUAAAUAAUAUUAAACUAAACUAUUAAUUAAUUCUCCAAUUAACUAAUAACACUAAAUUAUUUAUCUUAUAUUUAACUUAAAUUAAAUUUGAAUCAUAUUCAAAUAUAAGUUUCUCUCAAUAAUUUUAAUAUGAAUCCAAUUCACAUUAAAUUAAUAUUUGAACUCAUUCAAAUAUUUUAACUCUCAUAAGUUAAUUUUGAAUCAUCCCCAAAGUUAAAUUUAUAUAGUAAAGUUUGAUAAACUUUAUAUUACAAUGUAUCACUAUACAUUAUACUAAUUCCCAAGUUAAAUUUAAACAUUUUAAAUUACAACCAAUAUAAAUAAAUCUCAUUACCCUUUACGAGCUAGGAAAGGGACCUAAAGGACCUACAUAUCAGAAGCUACAACGAUCUAAGAUUAAUUGGCUAAACUCAUUAACCACAUUAAUCAAUAUUCGUUAGUUGUGUGUACACUCCACUAAAGACUCACAACUGAACUCUUCUCACUAAAAAUAUAUUUAUGUGUCCACGGAUAUAGACCAAUAAUAGUAAGUUAGUCCUUCACGAGUGUUUGUAACACUAGUUGGAUCAAUUUACCGCUUUACCCCUAUGUUACCUCUAAUCCUUAAAAACCAGUGCUCCUCUAAUGAACAACUUGUUUAUGGUCCUACUAAUAAACAAAAACCCCUCUCAUGUCAUAGAGAGGGUACGGGCCCUUUGUUCAAGUUUUGGAGACACCAUUUAAGCUAACAUUCAUCUACUUACCCUAAAGUAGGAAAUAAGUGGAUUCCAUUUUGUGCAAUUAUAAUCCCAACUCCUCACUCAGUCUUGUCCCCAAAAACACUACUACAAAAACAGGCUUUUUGACGUUUAAAAAUCGCCAAGAAUAUUUCCGAAUUCAACAUUCUUGACGUUUUUUAAAUGUCAAUAAUAUAUAGUUUUCCUCGACGUUUUAAAAGCAUCAAGUAAUUUAUUAAAAAUUCUUAACGUUUUUAAAAUGUCGAGAUAAUUCUAAAAAGUUCUUGACAUUUUUAAAAACGUCAAGAAAUUUAUAAAAAAUUCUUGACGUUUUUAAAACGUCCAGAUAAUUCUAAAAAAUCAUUGAUGUUUUUAAAAACUUCAAGAAAUUUUAAAUUGUUUUUGACGUUUUAAAAACGUCAAGAAAUUUCUAAAAAAUUAUUGUGUUAAUAUUCUUUUACAAAACUCAACGUUUCAAUUAGAUCACUUUCCCUUUUCUUAAUUAAACCUAAUUCGCCGCGACUCUGUCCCUUCUCCACCCGAAAUCAAAAGUGUCGUUCACCUAACCUUCCCUUUGCAUUCAUUUGUGCAUUCAUCUGCGUUCAUCGCCGAAAAAGACUUCCCUUCGCGUUCAUCAGCGUUCACCUUCAUUCAUUUGCGUUCAUUGUCCGUCACCGUUCGUCUUCUUUUCGUUCCCUUCACCUUCGUCGAUUUGCGUCCGUCUGUUCACCGUUCGAAAUGCGUAAACACAUUCUCUGUUCGAAAACGAGUAAACACGUUCACCGUCCUUCUGUCGCAUUCCACUUUCGCUAAACCUCUAUUCGUUUCCAAAUCCUUCAUGGUUACUCAUUCAUUUUCUUCCAUUUCUAAAGGUAAUAAUUUUCCUUUUUUCCUUUGUGAUUAAAAUUUGUAAUUUGUAAUUUAAAAUUGGAAUGCAAAAUUAAAGAAGAGGAAAUAUGCCUUAGAGAAUGGAAGAAAGGUUUUGCAUUUUAGGCUUGAAAAUGGGGGAUACAAGUUAUUAUAAUUGUAAUAUAUAAUAUUUUGAACAAGGCUACCAAGCGUGCGAAUAUGAUUCAUUGGUUAGUUUAGGGAUUGGAAAGAGAAGGAUUGUGGAGUUUGUGAUAAUAUUUUGGUACACUGGAGCUGGAAACAUGGAAUAUUAAAAAACACAUACUGUUAUACACAAUAUUAUAAUAAUACGAAUCACUAGCUUUUCUUCUUCGUUUUCUUUUUCUUCUCCUGGAAUUUUUGUUAUGGUAUUGUAUUGAGUUUUGUGUUUUAGAUUGUGAAGUAUGGGGUAGCUAAACUCUUAAUUCUAGGGAUAGAUGUAGACAAAGUUUAUGAAUUAUUCUUUGUAAUGCAUCUGAUUAUUCGCUCUUAAUCUUUUCAUGUUUUUAUGUGAAUAACGUUCAUAAUAUCUUAAUCACAGAUUAAUUGUUGAUUGGCCAUGAACCUUAAUCUUUGCAUGACUAGAUUGGUUAUGAACUUGGAAAGAGAUAAUUAAGGAUCCUUGAGGAUGUUGUUGAAAGAAGUGGACCUAAAAACUUUUGUUUGUUAAUAAAAAGAAAAAUGAACAGAGAUUCAUCUUCGUGAGGGGUCUUGAUGUUUAAUUUAAUUUAAAUUGUGUAAUGCCCCAAAGGUAUGUAUAUAUAUAUUUUGUUUUUAAUUUUAUAUAUAUAUAUAUAUAUUUAUACUUAAUUUAAAUAAAAAGAAAAGAAAAAGAAAUUUACCUCUCUCUCUCGCGCGCACACAACCCCUCUCUCAUUUUUCUUUUCUUCUCCUUCCGGUACCCUAGCAGCCGCCCACCCAUUUUCCCUAUUCUUCUUCCCGUCCUGCCGCAGCCAACCGCAGUCAGCCGCCCCAUCCGUUCGCACAGCAACUGCCGUCGGCCAUCUCCAUCUUCUCUUUUCCUCUCCGUUCCGUCCAAACCCAGCCGGACGUCGCUGCAACCGUCGGCCGCCAUCUCUGUUCGCGAAGCAAGGCCGCCGCGUGAACCUGUAACCGCCGGCUGUCUCCCCUCUCCUUUCUCCUCUGUUUUCAGCCCAGCCGCCGCCGAUUUCUUCUCCUCCGUCGUCUGCACUGCCGCGCGACUCUCCGGCCAUCUGUAUACGGUCUUUCCGCCGCACGUCAUCUCUUCGCAAAGCCACUGCUCGAUUUCUUUCGCGAAGAUUUGGGUAAGUUGCAAAAAGAUUCACAUUGGGUUGAAUUUAAAUGACUGAUGCGUUGAAGGGAAUUAUUGAGAAAUUGUCUUAAUGUUUAGGUUCGUUCUUCAUAGACUUCAACGUGGUUAAGGAGCUUAACAAAUUUGAAGGUAAGGGAUUUUCUACUGGACUCACUUAUGAUUGUGAAUUGCAUGUCUAAAUGAUUAUCUUUGACUGAGUAAAGAUGUUGAGAUGAUACUUAUGUUUAUACACGUAUGGGUGUAGAUUCGGUGCUGAAUGUACACUGUGGAUUGACUGAAAAUAUAUAUACAUAUGCAUAGGAAUUGAAGUAGACUUAAUGUGGAAUGCAUAUUGUGAUUGUCAUGGAAUAUAUAUAUAUGUGUGUGGAUGUGGACAGGACGAAAAUUGUAGAUUAUGCUUGUAUGAGAUGCAGAUGCGAUCUUGUGAUUGUCGUUUAGAUUGGGUGUCGUUACGCUAAAGUAUGACUGUGUGCUGGUGAUCUGAGGGGUGUAUUGACUGUAUAGUUUGAUUGACUGAUGUAUUAGUAUGUUAUUGACAGACAUAUGACCUAAGUGAGAUAAGUUGACUGUUAGGACGUUGAGAGAAAGAACUCUAUGUUUUGAAGUAUCUGAAGGAUGGGUUGAAUGGAAUGAGGGGAUAGAUUGUUAGGUUGUAUUGGGAUGAUUACCUUGUAGGUGUCCCACGGGAUCACCAAUUUAUUUUGCACCUUCGGGAGCAUUUGACUGAUAUGUGUUCUGCAGAACACUUGACUGAUAUGUACGUCCCUCGGGGCGUCAGACUGAUAUGUACGUCCUUCGGGGCGUUAGACUGAAAUGUGUAUCCUACGGGAUCACAAGACUGCGACUGUACAGGGUGUCCCAAUAGAACUUUAACAAUUUAUUUUCCCCUGACGAGACCAGUAGAGGGUCUCUUACUGAGUAUUGUUAUACUCACCCUUCUUAUGUUUAAUUUUCAGGCAAAGGAAAUAAAGGUGGCAAACCGGCGAGGGGCAGGAAGGAAGCGUGAUUGCCAUAGGAAUGUGUUAUUUUGCUUCCGCUUAUGAUUUCUUUUAAGGUUUAAGAUGUACUAAAACUUAGUUUACAAACUUUUAUUUGUAAAUAGUGUUAUUUUAAGUUUUCUUGAAUAUUUGAAAAUCAGGCCUGACAUGUUUUUUUUUUAAAUUGACUUACGUUUCGAUUUGUAUCAAUCAAAGUCUUAUUUGUUAAAAAUUAACGACCGACUUACUUAGAAAAGUUGGGUCGUUACAGUUGGUAUCAGAGCCUAAGUUUUAGGUUCUGUAGACUGACUUACGAUGUAAGUCUAUGUUUUUGUGUUCCUAUGGCAAACGCGACCCUUCGUCUCUCGUCAGGUAUGCUUUAUGCUUAUAUGUAUGGUUUAUUUGCAUGACCUUGCCUAAAUUAAACUAGAUUGCAUGACGAUAAAGACUUGCUUAUGUUUAUGAUUAAGAUUUUGUUAAAGAGUGUUGUUGGUGGAUAAUAGGAAUUAUGCCGCCAAGGGAAGAAGUACGUAGAGGAGGUCGUAGAGGCCGAGGUAGAGGAGCAGGAGGCCGAGGUAGAGGAGUAGGUCGUAAUCAGCCUACUGAGGGUCAAGCUGAACAGCGAAUUCCUGCUGCACCCCGUGACUCACGUCGAGUUUGAUGCACUGUCUGCUCACAUGGAGCAGAGGUUUACAGAACUUAUGACAGCCAUAGCUCAAAACCAGCAGGCACCUGCAGUCCCACCUGCACCUGUAGUUCCCCUGCACCAGCAGCCCCUCCUGCACAAGAAUUACCUAACCAACUUUCUGCUGAGGCGAAACAUUUGAGGGACUUUCGGAAGUAUGACCCUCAGACGUUUGAUGGGUCACUGGAGGAUCCUACUAAAGCUGAAAUGUGGUUGUCCUCUGUGGAAACCAUAUUUAAUUACAUGAGAUGUCCUGAGGAGCACAGAGUUCAGUGUGCUGCUUUUCUACUGAGGGACAGAGGCAUUAUCUGGUGGAGGACUACAAUGCGCAUGCUAGGUGGAGAUGUGAGGCAGAUUACCUGGGAUCAGUUUAAGGACUGCUUCUAUACCAAGUUUUUCUCGGCUAACCUUAGAGACGCCAAAAGCCAGGAAUUCUUGGAGUUGAAGCAAGGAUAUAUGACAGUCGAGGAGUACGACCAGGAGUUUGAUAUGCUGUCACGUUUUGCCCCUGAGCUUGUUAGUAAUGAGCAGGCUAGAGCUGAUAGGUUCGUCAAGGGAUUGAGAGAUGAAAUUAGGGGUUUUGUGCGAGCACUAAAGCCCACUACCCAAGCUGAAGCACUGCGUCUGGCAGUGGAUAUGAGUAUUGGGAAGGAUGAAAGACAGCCAAGGAGCUUUAAUAAGGGAUCGUCGUCGGGUCAAAAGAGAAAAGUAGAGCAGAGAACUGUAGGAGUUCCUCAGAGGAACAUGAGACCAGGUGAUUCUUUUCGCAGUUUCCAGCAGAGUUCUGGCGGUGCAGGAGACACUACUCAAGAGAGGCCAGUAUGUGAUACGUGUGGGAAACGCCACCUGGGUCGUUGUUUGAUGGGAACGAGAGUCUGUUAUAAGUGCAAGCAAGAGGGACACAUGGCUGAUAGGUGUCCCUUGAGAUCUACUGGGGCUGGAUCGAGCAGUCAGGGAGAGAGACCUCCACAGCGGGGUACAAUCUUUGCCACUAAUAGAUCAGAGGCAGAGAAGGCCGGCACAGUAGUGACAGGUACAUUACCAGUAUUGGGCAUUUUGCCUUGACCUUGUUUGACUCGGGAUCUUCUCAUUCAUUUAUUUCAUCGCUUUUUGUGACGCAUGCAUGCUUAGAGUGGAACCCUUAGACUAUGUUUUGUCAGUGUCUACACCGUCUGGAGAAAUUAUGUUGUCUAAGGAAAAGAUUAAAGCAUGUGAAAUUGAAUAGCUGGUCGUGUGCUGGACGUAACCUUGUUGGUAUUAGAUAUGCGUGACUUUGAUGUAAUUUUAGGUAUGGAUUGGCUAGCUACUAAUCAUGCUAGUAUUGAUUGUUCUCGUAAGGAAGUUGUGUUUAGUCCCCCUACUGCAUCUAGCUUUAAAUUCAAGGGAGUAGGAACAGUAGUACUGCCUAAAGUAAUCUCAGCUAUGAAAGCUAGUAAACUACUCAGCCAGGGUACUUGGAGUAUUUUGGCAAGUGUGGUGGAUACUAGGGAAGGUGAGACUUCUUUAACUUCAGAACCUGUGGUAAGAGAAUACCCAGAUGUAUUUCCAAAAGAUCUUCCAGGACUACCGCCACAUAGAGAGGUUGAUUUUGCAUUGAGUUGGAGCCAAACACUACUCCUAUUUCUAGAGCCCCUUAUAGGAUGGCUCCUGCUGAGUUGAAAGAACUGAAGGUACAGUUACAGGAAUUGCUUGACAAAGGCUUUAUUCGACCUAGUGUGUCACCUUGGGGUGCACCAGUAUUGUUUGUGAAGAAGAAGGAUGGGUCGAUGCGUCUUUGCAUUGACUAUAGAGAGUUGAAUAAAGUAACAGUCAAGAACAGGUAUCCUUUACCCAGAAUCGAUGAUUUGUUCGAUCAGUUACAGGGAGCCACGGUGUUCUCUAAGAUUGACUUACGGUCAGGUUAUCACCAGUUGAGGAUUAGAGACCGUGAUAUUCCUAAGACUGCUUUCGUUCGAGGUAUGGACAUUAUGAAUUCAUAGUGAUGUCUUUUGGUUUGACUAAUGCACCUGCUGUAUUUAUGGAUUUGAUGAACAGGGUGUUUAAGGAUUUCUUGGACACUUUUGUGAUAGUCUUCAUUGAUGAUAUUUGGUUUAUUCCAAGACUGAAGCGAACAUGAGGAACAUUACAUAAGGUGUUAGAGACUCUUCGAGCAAUAAACUGUAUGCUAAGUUCUCGAAGUGCGAAUUUUGGUUGAAGCAGGUGGCUUUUCUUGGUCAUGUGGUUUCCAGUGAGGGAGUUUCAGUAGACCCUGCAAAGAUAGAAGCGGUUACCAGUUGGUCUCGACCCUCUACAGUUGUGAGGUUCGUAGUUUUCUGGGUUUAGCAGGGUACUACCGGAGGUUUGUGGAGGAUUUUUCACGUUUGGCUACUCCUUUGACUCAGUUGACAAGGAAGGGAACUCCGUUUGUUUGGAGUCCAGCUUGUGAGGAUAGUUUUCAGAACCUUAAGCAAAGGUUAGUUACUGCACCGGUCCUUACUGUACCAGAUGGAUCUGGAAGUUUUGUGAUUUACAGUGAUGCUUCCAAGAAAGGACUGGGUUGUGUUUUGAUGCAGAAAGGUAAGGUGGUUGCUUAUGCCUCUCGUCAGUUGAAGAGUCACGAGCAGAACUACCCCACACAUGAUUUGGAGUUGGCAGCAGUGGUUUUUGCAUUGAAGAUAUGGAGACAUUACUUGUACGGUGAAAAGAUACAAAUCUUUACUGACCAUAAGAGCCUAAAGUACUUCUUCACUCAGAAGGAGUUGAAUAUGAGACAGCGAAGGUGGCUCGAGUUGGUAAAAGAUUAUGACUGUGAGAUAUUAUACCAUCCUGGUAAGGCGAAUGUGGUGGCUGAUGCUCUUAGUAGAAAAGUAUCACAUUCGGCAGCACUCAUUACUAGACAGGUACCAUUGCAUCGAGACUUGGAGAGAGCUGAGAUUGCAGUGUCUGUGGGGAGAGUCACCUCACAGCUAGCUCAAUUAACGGUGCAACCGACUCUGAGGCACAAGAUUGUUGAUGCUCAGAGUAAUGAUCCUUAUUUGAUGGAGAGACGUCGCCUUGUUGAAACAGGGCAGACUGAUGAGUUCUCCAUAUCCUCUGAUGGUGGGUUGAUGAGAGACGUUUAUGUGUGCCAGCGAACAGUACAGUUAAGAUUGACUUACUAGAUGAAGCCCAUAAUUCCCCAUUUUCCAUGCAUCCUGGUAGCACGAAAAUGUAUCAGGAUCUAAAACGAUUUUAUUGGUGGCGGAAUAUGAAAAGGAAGUGGCGAAUUUGUUAGUAAGUGUCUAGUAUGUCAGCAAGUUAAGGCACCUAGACAGAAACCAGCAGGUUUAUUACAACCUUAAGUGUGCCAGAGUGGAAGUGGGAGAAUGUGUCGAUGGAUUUUAUUUCAGGGCUGCCUAAGACCCUGAAGGGUUUCACAGUGAUUCUGGUUGUCAUAGACAGGCUUACGAAAUCGGCACAUUUUGUACCAGGAAAAUCCACUUAUACUGCUAGUAAGUGGGCAGAGUUGUAUUUAACUGAGAUUGUGAGACUGCAUGGAGUGCCUGUAUCGAUUGUUUCUGAUAGGGAUGCACGGUUUACUUCCAAGUUUUGGAAGGGACUUCAGACUGCUAUGGGUACGAGAUUGGAUUUCAGUACAGCCUUUCAUCCACAGACUGAUGGUCAAACUGAACGUUUGAACCAAGUUUUAGAGGAUAUGCUACGAGCUUGUGUUAUAGAGUUUCCAGGUAGUUGGGACUCUCAUCUACAUUUGAUGGAGUUUGCUUAUAACAACAGUUUCCAGGCUACCAUCGGUAUGGCACCAUUUGAGGCUUUGUAUGGCAAAUGUUGUAGAACCCCUGUUUGUUGGAGUGAGGUUGGUGAACAUAGAUUGAUGGGACCUGAAUUAGUUCGGUCUACUAAUGAGGCUAUUCAAAAGAUUAGAGCACGUAUGCAAACAGCGCAGAGUAGACAGAAGAGUUAUGCGAUGUACGGCGAAAAGACCUUAAGUUCGAUGUGGGAGAAAAGGUAUUCUUGAAGGUAGCACCUAUGAAGGGUGUUAUGCGUUUUGAGAAGAAAGGAAAGUUAAGUCCUCGUUUUGUUGGACCAUUUGAGAUCUUAGAGAGGGUUGGUGUUGUGGCGUAUCGCUUGGCAUUACCACCAUCUCUCUCUGCAGUUCAUAAUGUUUUCCAUGUUUCGAUGUUGAGGAAGUAUGUGGCCGAUACGUCUCAUGUAGUGGACUAUGAACCCUUGGAGAUUGAUGAGCAUUUGAGCUAUGUAGAACAACCUGUGGAGAUUCUGGCUAGAGAGGUAAAGAUGCUUCGUAAUAGAAGCAUUCCAUUAGUAAAGGUUUUGUGGCGGAAUCAUCGAAUUGAAGAGGCGACAUGGGAGCGAGAGGAAGAAAUGAGGACUCGUUAUCCAGAGUUAUUUCAGGAUUAGAACUUUCGAGGACGAAAGUUUCUUAAGGAGGGAAGAAUGUAAUGCCCCAAAGGUAUGUAUAUAUAUAUUUUGUUUUUAAUUUUAUAUAUAUAUAUAUAUUUUUAUACUUAAUUUAAAUAAAAAGAAAAGAAAAAGAAAUUUACCUCUCUCUCUCGCGCGCACACAACCCCUCUCUCAUUUUUCUUUUCUUCUCCUUCCGGUACCCUAGCAGCCGCCCACCCAUUUUCCCUAUUCUUCUUCCCGUCCUGCCGCAGCCAACCAGUCAGCCGCCCCAUCCGUUCGCACAGCAACUGCCGUCGGCCAUCUCCAUCUUCUCUUUUCCUCUCCGUUCCGUCCAAACCCAGCCGGACGUCGCUGCAACCGUCGGCCGCCAUCUCUGUUCGCGAAGCAAGGCCGCCGCGUGAACCUGUAACCGCCGGCUGUCUCCCCUCUCCUUUCUCCUCUGUUUUCAGCCCAGCCGCCGCCGAUUUCUCUCCUCCGUCGUCUGCACUGCCGCGCGACUCUCCGGCCAUCUGUAUACGGUCUUUCCGCCGCACGUCAUCUCUUCGCAAAGCCACUGCUCGAUUUCUUUCGCGAAGAUUUGGGUAAGUUGCAAAAAGAUUCACAUUGGGUUGAAUUUAAAUGACUGAUGCGUUGAAGGGAAUUAUUGAGAAAUUGUCUUAAUGUUUAGGUUCGUUCUUCAUAGACUUCAACGUGGUUAAGGAGCUUAACAAAUUUGAAUGGUAAGGGAUUUUCUACUGGACUCACUUAUGAUUGUGAAUUGCAUGUCUAAAUGAAUUAUCUUUGACUGAGUAAAGAUGUUGAGAUGAUACUUAUGUUUAUACACGUAUGGGUGUAGAUUCGGUGCUGAAUGUACACUGUGGAUUGACUGAAAAUAUAUAUACAUAUGCAUAGGAAUUGAAGUAGACUUAAUGUGGAAUGCAUAUUGUGAUUGUCAUGGAAUAUAUAAUAUGUGUGUGGAAAGGACGAAAAUUGUAGAUUAUGCUUGUAUGAGAUGCAGAUGCGAUCUUGUGAUUGUCGUUUAGAUUGGGUGUCGUUACGCUAAAGUAAUGACUGUGUGCUGGUGAUCUGAGGGGUGUAUUGACUGUAUAGUUUGAUUGACUGAUGUAUUAGUAUGUUAUUGACAGACAUAUGACCUAAGUGAGAUAAGUUGACUGUUAGGACGUUGAGAGAAAGAACUCUAUGAUGUUUUGAAGUAUCCUGAAGGAUGGGUUGAAUGGAAUGAGGAUAGAUUGUUUAGGUUGUAUUGGGAUGAUUACCUUGUAGGUGUCGACGGGAUCACCAAUUUAUUUUGCACCUUCGGGAGCAUUUGACUGAUAUGUGUUCUGCAGAACACUUGACUGAUAUGUACGUCCCUCGGGCGUCAGACUGAUAUGUACGUCCUUCGGGGCGUUAGACUGAAAUGUGUAUCCUACGGGAUCACAAGACUGCGACUGUACAGGGUGUCCCAAUAGAACUUUAACAAUUUAUUUU
RNAcentral lists this long non-coding RNA (36304 nucleotides) under Cucumis sativus (cucumber). Its description in RNAcentral is "long non-coding RNA (CSAT_LNC003109)". Lineage: Eukaryota; Viridiplantae; Streptophyta; Magnoliopsida; Cucurbitales; Cucurbitaceae. The record is from RNAcentral.